Molecule: non-coding RNA, 24 nt
Filed under: Mus musculus (house mouse)
Lineage: Eukaryota; Metazoa; Chordata; Mammalia; Rodentia; Muridae
Source: RNAcentral
UUGACUCUGGAGAAGCAAACCCAC